RNAcentral lists this long non-coding RNA (351 nucleotides) under Carica papaya (papaya). RNAcentral's name for it is "long non-coding RNA (CPAP_LNC014988)". The record is from RNAcentral. Lineage: Eukaryota; Viridiplantae; Streptophyta; Magnoliopsida; Brassicales; Caricaceae.
AAUAAUAAGAGGAAGGUCCAAGAGCCAUAACAUCCUAAUAAAAGGAAAAAAAUGGGUCUCGUAGUCCCAGCACAAGGGCAAAAUAUAUAUGCCCUUGUUGUGGAAAGAACCAUGAUAGCAGACCUAGCUAUAAGCUGACAAAUGGAUGUCUUAGAUGUAAUAGUACUCAACAUCAGAUCAAAGAGUGCCCUAUCAAUAAAGGGCAGAUCAGGACAAAAACUCAAGGAAAAGUAUAUGCCUUUAGAAAGAGAGAUGCUAAAGCCACCCAGGAUGUGAUCCAAGGUAUACUCACUAUCUCUAAUACCUUGGCAAAGGUUCUAAUAGAUCCAGGAUCUAUACAUUCUUUUGCUU